Molecule: long non-coding RNA, 886 nt
Organism: Prunus persica (peach)
Lineage: Eukaryota; Viridiplantae; Streptophyta; Magnoliopsida; Rosales; Rosaceae
Exons: 3
Source: RefSeq, a predicted model, not a curated record
UGCUUGUGGGAUUUUCAUGAUGUUUCAGGUUUAUACGCGCUUUCUCCCUGAGGUAGCAGUGGGAUAUGAGGAUCCCAGAGUGCAAGUACACAUAUCAAAUGGGAGUUGAGUUCAUGAAUACUGUUCCUCAGGGCACAUAUGAUGCCAUCAUGCUUGAUGCUUUCCAAAACAUGGGUCCUACAUCAAAAGAACUUUCUGAGCAAGGGCUCUUCGCCCCGGGGAUGUUAUGUCUACCCCGGCAGACAGCUUCUGGCAUAAAGACUUUGUUCACUGUGCAGAUACCAUAGCAAACUGCCGAAAAAUAUUUAAGGGCUCUGUCAACUAUGCCUGGACAACAAUUCCUGCAUAUGAAAGGCAAGAGGUCCUUUGCAAUUAGAACUUGGCUGGUUAUUUUAUACUAUUGCUGAUGCAUUUCAUGGUGGUAAUGGGGUUCACGCUGUGCACCACCGAAGGGUGCCACCAGUCGACUUUAAACAUCCCAUCAAUCAGUUAAACUCGGAAAACCACGGUGUGGCUAAAGGUACCUCCAAAAUUCUACAACACACAAGUACUGCUGAUUUUUACUUUCCAUAACUGUGUAACUGUGUUUUGGCCUAUUCUCUGUUGUUUUGGAUGCUUUAUUGGGUCCCUAAUGGAUUUGCUUUCCUCUGUUUUCACUCUUGCAGAAGCACAACGCUGCCUUCCAAGUGCCUUGUUUUGUAGACAAGGCUCUAGGAAAUCAAGGAUAGCUCCUGUAUGUCGUCUGUGAUGCAGGCGCAUCUGACUGUCAGUUCUGCUUUGAAUCGAACACGGUCUCAAUUGGACACCAAAAUAAACUGAAAUUGAUUCAUUUCUUUUUCCCUCUUUGUAUGAUCUAUAAUUCUAAUGAAAAACCAUACAUUUCUGU